UACGUAGGGGGCGAGCGUUGUCCGGAAUUAUUGGGCGUAAAGAGCUCGUAGGCGGUUUGUCGCGUCGGUCGUGAAAUCCUGGGGCUUAACUUCGGGCUUGCGGUCGAUACGGGCAGGCUAGAGUGCGGUAGGGGAGACUGGAAUUCCUGGUGUAGCGGUGGAAUGCGCAGAUAUCAGGAGGAACACCGGUGGCGAAGGCGGGUCUCUGGGCCGUUACUGACGCUGAGGAGCGAAAGCGUGGGGAGCGAACAGG
This 253-nucleotide ribosomal RNA is filed under the name uncultured Actinomycetales bacterium. Its description in RNAcentral is "partial 16S ribosomal RNA". It matches the Rfam family "Bacterial small subunit ribosomal RNA", at positions 524 to 776 of the family's 1533-position model. The record is from RNAcentral. Lineage: Bacteria; Bacillati; Actinomycetota; Actinomycetes; Actinomycetales.